UGUAAAAAGAAAUUAUUAUGGAUAAUUAGCUAUAUAUUAAAGAAUCACAUAGAUGUUAUCUUGAUUCUAAGAGAAAUCCUAAAUAAUAAAACAAAGUGAAUUGAAAUAUCUCAGUAACUUUAGGAAAAUAAAUCAAACGAGAUUAUUAUUUAAGUAAAUACUAAAUAAUAAUAGCCUAAUUUAAGUAAAAUGGAUAAUAUCUGUUUGAAUAUAGGGGAACCUUCCUCUAAGGCUAAAUAUGAUAUAUAAGCGAUAGUGAAUAGUACCGUGAGGUAACAUUUGAAAUAGUAAUUUUAUAAGCAGCUCGAGUAAAAAUUAAAAUUAAAAAUAAGAGUGUACCUUUUGCAUAAUGGGUCAGCAAGUUAAUUUUAGAUGCAAGUGGUAUAAAUAAUUAUAUAUGGUAUAAUCUAUAUAAUUAAAUUACCUAAGAUAAACCAAUUAUGAAAAAAUGAUAAGUAUCUAAAAUUAGACCCGAAGGCUAGUGAUCUUACCAUGAUCAGGGUUAAAAAGGCCCGAACGGGUUAUCGUUGUAUAGAUAUCCGAUGAAUUGUGGUAAGUUAGUGAAAGAUAAAACUGACUAGUAUAGCUGGUUUUCCGCGAAACCUAUGUGAGUAGGUAAUUUAAUUAACAUCUUAGCAGGUACAGAACUGUGAUCUCGGACAAUAUUAUUUUUAUAAUACUUGUUUACAUCGGGGGAUUGUAGUGAUUUUAUCGGAGAGUAUUUGCACUCGGAAGGGCAAAGAUGAAUAUUGAAUAAUCGGACAUAGUACGAUAAGGUUGUAUGUCUAAAGGGAAACAGCCCAGAACAAGAGUUUAAGGUUCCAAAAUUAUUGUUAAGUGAAAUUAAGGAUGUUUUUUUCAAAAACAAUCAGGAAAUAGGCUUAGAGGCGGCCAUUUUUUGAAGAUCUCGUAACAGAGCACUGAUUAAAUUUAAUAGGAAAAAAUACCGAAAAUUUAACGGAUCUAAAUAAUAUACCGAAACCUUGUACACAAUAACUGUGGGGUAGCGGAACAUCGGAUGUUUGAAUAAUUAGUAUAUUUAUUUUAUUAAGUAUACUUACACAUAUAAGUCAAAUGUAUUGUUUAUAAAAAAAAUAUAUUUAUAUAUUUUUUUUAUAAAUUUUCAUUUUUCAUAGAUUGGCUCAUAUUUUGAGUUUGACUUAUAUUGUUGAGAGAAUUCCGAUAGAGAAUGCUGACAUGAGUAACGAAAAAGUUAACCUCGCCUUAAGCUUAUGGUAUUUAAAUUAAUUUUCGGUGUCUAAGUAAUUAAUCUAAAGAUAAUUACGAUGACGUAAUGGUGAAUUUUUAAUUUAUAUAAUUAUAAAUUUAACUAAUUACAAAACUAUAAGUAACAAUAUAUAUAAUAUAUUACUAUAAUGAAAGAUUGCAUAACCUUUGUAAAGUAGCAGAGGUUCAGGAAAUAAGUUUUUUAUUAUAUACUAUUUAUAUUAUACAAAAUAUUGUUAUAUUAAAUGAUAUAGUAAUAAAAAAGUAAUUAGCAUAUACCGUACCUAGAUACUAUCACAAGUAAGCAAGUAGAGUAUACAAAGGCGUUUGAGUGAACAAUCAUUAAGGAACUCGGCAAAUUGACUACCGUAACUUCGGGAUAAGGAGAACCAUUUUUAUUAGUUUGACCAAUUUUAUAUUGGAUAAUUAUUAAAUUAAUAGAAAGAGGGGGCAUAGAAUAAUGUUGUACGACUGUUUAAUAAAAACAAAGCACUCUGCCAAGAUAAAAGUCUAAGUAUUGAGUGUGAUGUCUGCCCAAUGUCGGCUGGAUAACGAAUUUAUCUUGAUAUUUAUUUAAGGUUUUGAAGGAUACCCCGAUCAAUGGCGGCCUUACCUAUGAGGGUCCUAAGGUAGCGGAAUACCUUGGCCGUUAAAUGCGGUCUUUGCAUGAAUGACUUAACGAUACAACAGCUGUCUCGAUGAUUGUCUCAGUGAAAUUGGAAUAGCAGUGCAGAUACUGUUUACCUCUAGAUAGACGAGAAGACCCUAUGCAGCUUUACUGUUACUAAUUACAAGAGAUUACUUUAAGUUAAUUGCGAGUGUAUAAGGUAGUCGUAAGACAAUAAUGAAACACCUUUAUUUGUACUUAUUAUCUACUCUUGAUGAUUAGGAGGCAGUUUAUGCGGGGCACAGAUCCCACAAAAAGUACCUGGGUAUAUCCAAAGUUCAUAUUGUAAAUUUGUAAAUUUAGUUACAAAUAUUUUAAUUUGUUAUUAAUUAUGUUAAUAAUAAUACAGUUAUUAUUAGAUUAAAUUCAGUAUAUUUUUUAUUUUUAGUAAGAUUUUAACUAUAUGGUGAAUAGAUGUAUUUUAAGUUAAAUUUUUUUAUUUAGCUUAUUUUUAUAUUAAUAUUGUAUAUGUUCUUUAUUAAUAUAAUUUUUAUAUAUACUAUAAAAGUUUAAUGGCUAAAUCUUGCUUUACUGUUUGACUUACAAGUCUAUCAGUCGCGUAAGCGGGGCAUAUGAUCACAAGAUGCAUAAAGGAAAGGUCUUGGAUUAAAGAAAAAGUUACGCUAGGGAUUUAGCUUAAGUCCCCUAAUAUCAUAAGAUAUUAUAUAUAAUUUGGGUAAAUUUCAAAAACAACUUUAAAAGUGAAUUUGAAGCGAAACUUAUUUUAGCUUUAAUUUUAUAUUUUAUAUAAAAUAAAAUAAGGACGUUCAACGACUAAAAGGUGAGUAUUGCUAACAAUAAUCCUUAUUAGAUACGCCCAACAUCUUUAUAAAUUAUAAUUAGUAUAAAUAUUAUUAUUAUUAUAAUAAUGAAAUAGACUUGAUGUUAUUAUCAAGCUUGUUAUUUUUAUAAUAACAUUAAAUAUAAAUAUGUUAAAUAUUAUAAAAUCUAAAUUGAAUACUUCUUAUAAAAAAAAACGUAGUAAUAAUAAAAAUGUUACUAUAGGUUAUAAAAAUUUUGUACCUGCUAUAAGAGAUUGAAAAAAUAGUAUUUAUGUUUAUAAUAAAAAUACUUUAAGUUUAAUACCAGUAGCUAGUAAUUAUAUUAUGAAAUUAAUUAAAGGUUAUUUUAGUUUAUCUAAUUUAAAAUUAGAAAAAAAAUUAAGAAAAGAAAAUCUACGUCGUAGAUCCAUAAAAUUAUCUACAAAUAAAAUUUUUUUAAGUGAUGGUGAAUUUAAACAUACAAAUGAUAAAGUAAUUAUUACAUUAUAUUUAUAUAAUAGACAAAAAUACAAUUAUUUAUAUAAAUUAAAAAAAAGAUAUGUAAAAUUAUUUGUUAAAACUAAAUUUUUGGAAAAACUAGAUUUAAUUAAAUCUAAAGGAUUAGAAAUUUUAGAAAAACAAAAAGAAUAUAAAAAAGAAUUAAAAUUAGUUUUACCUAGUUAUAAUUAUAAAGUAUCUCUUUUUCAACAUUUAUAUUACAAAAAUUUCAUUAAAAAAAGUUUAAAAAGACUUAAGUUUUAUAUGUUUUAUAAACAAUUACUUUAUAUUAAUCAAAAUAAAUUUAAUUAUUCUUACUUACAAGGUUUAAUAUAUUUAAUAAAAAAAAUUUUUAAUAAAAAUGUAGAAUUAAAUUUAAUAAAUUUAAAAUAUUUUUAUUUUAAUAGUGAUAUUUUUUCACAACCUUUAGUUUUAAAAUUAAGAAAAAAAAGAAAUUUAUUAAGAUAUUUGAAAGCUUGUGUUAGAAAAGUAAAAAUAAAAAAAACUAAUGAAAUAAUAAAUAAUUAUUUUUUUGAUCUUAAUCAAUUGUCUAAUAUAAAAGAUGUAGAUAUUUUAAAUAAUUUGUUAUUAGAGUUAUUAAAACAUAAUGAAAAAAAUUAUAGAAACAAUAUUAUAUUAAGAAAUAAAUAUGGUAUUAAUAUAUUAAAAUAUAUAAUAUUAAAUAAUAUUAAAUAUAAAAGAGUAUCUGGUGUUAGAUUAGAAGCUGCAGGUAGAUUAACUAAACGUUAUACUGCAUCAAGAUCUCGUUAUAAAGUUAUUUAUAAAGGUAAUUUAGAAAAUACACUUUCUUCUAUUAAAGGUUAUUCUUCUGUAUUAUUAAGAGGAAACUUUAAGCCUAAUUUACAAUACACUAAACUAAAUUCUAAAUCUAGAAUUGGUUCUUUUGGUGUUAAAGGUUGAGUUAGUGGUGAGUAAAUUAUCUGUAUAUAUUAUAAAAAUUAUUCUUAUUUAUAUAAAGAUGAAGAAAUAGUCUGAACCAUUUUUUGAAAAAUGGAAAUAAAUAUUUUAUGGUAACAAAAAUUGAACAGGCUAAUUUGCGCAAGAGAGUACAAAUUGAGUGCGCGGUUUGGCACCUCGAUGUCGGCUUAGCUCAUCCACAUGAAUGCAAAAAUCAUGAAGGGUUCGACUGUUCGUCGAUUAAAGAGCUACAUGAGCUGGGUUUAAUACGUCGUGAGACAGUAUGGUUUCUAUCUUCUAGAGGAAAUUGAAGUAAAAUAAAGAUAGCCCCUUCGUACGAAAGGAGUUGGGUAUGUUGAUCUAUGGUUUACUUGUUGUUUAUAAUGCAAUAUUUUUGCCGCUUACUUUUACUUAAGUAAGUUGUUUAUAGGCAUGGCAAGAAAGCUACAUCAAUUAGAGAUAAGUGCUGAAUGCAUUUAAGCGCGAAACUCACUUUAAGAUACUUAUAAACGUAGUAGAACACUACGAUUUAUUAUAAAAAAAUUUUACAAAUAAAUUUUUCUUUAUAAUAAAUAGGUUUUAGUUGUAUAUAAUAUAUAUAUAUAUAUAUAUAUAUUGACAUAAAAUACUAAUUUUUUUAUUAACUAAAAAUUUUCCAUAGCAAUG
RNAcentral lists this ribosomal RNA (4737 nucleotides) under Talaromyces marneffei. RNAcentral's name for it is "large subunit ribosomal RNA". The stretch from base 1 to 2562 matches the Rfam family "Bacterial large subunit ribosomal RNA". The record is from RNAcentral. Lineage: Eukaryota; Fungi; Ascomycota; Eurotiomycetes; Eurotiales; Trichocomaceae.